This is a long non-coding RNA of Helianthus annuus (common sunflower), 649 nucleotides long. RefSeq lists it as uncharacterized. The transcript has 6 exons. The record is from RefSeq and is a predicted model, not a curated record. Lineage: Eukaryota; Viridiplantae; Streptophyta; Magnoliopsida; Asterales; Asteraceae.
GCCGGAUCUCUCGAUUUCUCUCGAAAAGGCAAAGAAAUAGGAAGCUGCGUUUAUAGUAACCAUUGCAAAACGGGAGCAGGAGAUUGCAGAUUUGAAGAUCUGUGGAAUGAUUGAUUGAAAUGAUUGAUGUGUUUUGUGGAAGUGUGCUGGAUAGUGAUCUAGUUAUGUGUGGUUAUGGAUUUGAUUUUGAGUGUUGUGAUGUUGCAGUUGCCGAGCAUAGGGAUCAAUCCGCAGUUUAUUACGUUUACGAAUGUAACGAUGGUGUCAGAUAAGUUUAUAUGUGUUCGUGAAACGUCGCCACAAAAUAGUGUGGUGAUCAUUGAUAUGAACAUGCCAAUGCAUCCACUACGUAGGCCGAUUACUGCUGACUCGGCUCUUAUGAAUCCGAUUUCGAAGAUUCUGGCUUUAAAAGCUUGUAGGAACAGAUCACUGCACUUUCAAUUCUACACAGAAGUCUUUUGGAAUUGAUGAUUUUCGCAAAAUACCAAAUGGGGUCAACGGGUUGUAAUGAUUUCAGUUUCUUUUCAAGUCGAAACAUUAAGGUUGCAAUGCCUGUUGGGAACUAUACUACAUCGAGCAUGAAAUUCAGGAGACGUCGUAAACGAGGAAAGUGGAGAUGGAAGGUCGAUAAGGAUGAUUCACGUAUGAG